AGCCUCCUGUUUCCGUGCUGAGAUUUCAUCAACGAUCAACCCGUUGGGACUGGCUGAUGCAACUCCAAAAAUAAGUGAAGUG
RNAcentral lists this microRNA precursor (82 nucleotides) under Trichobilharzia regenti. RNAcentral's name for it is "mir-3492 microRNA precursor family". It matches the Rfam family "mir-3492 microRNA precursor family". Lineage: Eukaryota; Metazoa; Platyhelminthes; Trematoda; Strigeidida; Schistosomatidae. The record is from Rfam by way of RNAcentral.